GCUGGAACAAACAGCAGUCCGCUCUUACGCAGCGGCAAUCCCGACGAUCCGAUCGAGAGAUUAAUUGAUGAUUUGUCGAGGCCCCCAGAGUCCGCCGGUCGGACAUCGAUACGAGCCGACCUUGCAGCUGCUGCAGUCUUGGUCGCCCGCGCGAUUGAGUCAGUAAACGGACUCACCCGCGAUCUCCGCCGAGGCUGUCCUGUCGUGUCGCUCGCCACCCAUAGAGCCGAGGUGGUCUCCCUGGCUAAGCAGGUUCUAGAAGCCUGCGCUUUUGGCUCUGAAGCAA
RNAcentral lists this unclassified non-coding RNA (286 nucleotides) under Hevea brasiliensis (rubber tree). The record is from RNAcentral. Lineage: Eukaryota; Viridiplantae; Streptophyta; Magnoliopsida; Malpighiales; Euphorbiaceae.